This 21-nucleotide non-coding RNA is filed under the name Arabidopsis thaliana (thale cress). The record is from RNAcentral. RNAcentral also lists the same sequence under 1 other name. Lineage: Eukaryota; Viridiplantae; Streptophyta; Magnoliopsida; Brassicales; Brassicaceae.
UAGCCAAAUGCCUCGUCAUCU